GCCAGCGUAGCUCAGUGGUAGAGCAGUUCUUUCGUAAAGAAAAGGUCGGGAGUUCGACUCUCCCCGUUGGCU
RNAcentral lists this transfer RNA (72 nucleotides) under bacterium. Its description in RNAcentral is "tRNA-Thr". It matches the Rfam family "tRNA". Rfam says of the family: Transfer RNA (tRNA) molecules are approximately 80 nucleotides in length. Their secondary structure includes four short double-helical elements and three loops (D, anti-codon, and T loops). The record is from RNAcentral.